RNAcentral lists this ribosomal RNA (468 nucleotides) under uncultured bacterium. RNAcentral describes it as "partial 16S ribosomal RNA". It matches the Rfam family "Bacterial small subunit ribosomal RNA", at positions 28 to 507 of the family's 1533-position model. The record is from RNAcentral.
GACGAACGCUGGCGGCGUGCUUAACACAUGCAAGUCGAACGGAAAGGCCCUGCUUUUGUUGGUUGCUCGAGUGGCGAACGGGUGAGUAACACGUGAGUAACCUGUCCUUGACUUUGGGAUAACUUCAGGAAACGGGGGCUAAGACCGGGUAUGAGCUCCUGCUGCAUGGGGGGGGUUGGAAAGUUUCGGCGUUUGGGGAUGGACUCGCGGCUUAUCAGCUUGUUGGUGGGGGAGUUGCUUACCAAGGCUUUGAGGGGUAGCCGGCCUGAGCGGGUGCCCGGCAACAUUGGACCUGGGAACGGGCCAGGAGUCCUCCGGGAGGAAGAAGGGGGGAAUAUUGCCCAAUGGGCGGAAGCCUGAUGAAGAAACGCGGGGUGCGGGAUAACGGCCUCCGGGUUGUAACCCGCUUCAGCAUGUGACGAAGCGUGGGUGACGGUACUGGGUAAAGAAGCACCGGCUAACUACGUG